UCCGAGCCUCUUCUCCUCUCACGCCCUAACCGCUCCUCCCAAACCGGCGCCGCCCUCCCUCACGUCACUUCCUCUUCUUCUCCACGAGUACAAAAGCUUCGAACCCGAGCCUUCCCCUUGCGUCGAUUCUUUUUCCCCUUCUUUCCCUCUGCCCUAGCCGUCUCCACCAUCGUCGUCUCCCUCUCGCCAGAUACUAGCCACUGCCGCCCACUUCGUGUGAGACUCACCAACAACGUAGUGGCCGUCGUAGGAAGUGGUGCGGUCGGCCUGAGCAAGGAGCCCGAGUCCUCUUCAUUGUGUCUCCAUUGCACUCUCCGAUUGCAAGCCACCCGAGCAACCUUCUCUUUCGAUUGUCGAGUUCCGUUCGACAGUUGCCCCCUCCGAUUCGCUCAUCUCCUCGCGCCAAGCAACAUUGAGUCGUGCCCUAGAUCUCGCCACUGCACCUCUGCAAUGGGCAAUCUUUAACCAAGGGCAGAGAGUCGUGCCUUAGCCGUCUUCCGCUCGCCACUGGCUACUGCCACAACUGAUCGGCCGACACCACCCAGAACCCCUCAGCACCUCUUGGCGCAGCCGACGCCUCGCCUCUCUUCACUGCGCCGAUUCUGCCAGAGAGGGAAACUGCCGGUUGGUGGUUCCUAGGUAGUGACGGCAACAAAACUGUGAUAGCAGUAACUCCGGCCACAAUUUCUAGCAGCUACCCUUCUCCAGCAGUCACUUGGCUGUGAAUUUGAGGUUGCGGCUGUCCGAAGGAUUUCCAAUCGCUAGUCCCCCUGCAGAUCGCAAGGAUGUUUGUUUAGUCUUUUGGUUUUUCUUAUUAUACUAUCUAUACUAUGUUUUAGACUUGUAUCUUUUUGGCACUUGGAUCUUGUAUGGUCCUUUAUUUGUCGAUAGAGUUUUAUUUGGAUAUGUUUUGCUACAUAUCUGCCUGGACAGCAGAAGAGGUGAGUUGAUUUUAUUUGCGUCAUUGUGAUUUGAAUUUUAUGGGUGUAGUUGAGUAGGAAUAUGAUUUGAGUUUUAUGAGCAUAAUGGAGUAGGAUAUUUGGGAUGAUUUUCCUUAUCGUUGUUUUAG
Zingiber officinale is the source of this 1069-nucleotide long non-coding RNA. RefSeq lists it as uncharacterized. Lineage: Eukaryota; Viridiplantae; Streptophyta; Magnoliopsida; Zingiberales; Zingiberaceae. The record is from RefSeq and is a predicted model, not a curated record. The transcript has 3 exons.